UUCAGGUGCAGCGAAUAUCAGUCAGUGCCUGAUCAAUCUGUUCUCAGGGUUUCCAGGGUGACUCAGAAAGCACACCAGUGGCUAAGGCAUUAAGUCGCCUCCAAAGCCUUCCAUCUUGAAUGUCCUGUUGUGGCUUAAUGUUUGAUACUUCCCCAGUAAGCGGGCUGCCUUGGGUUGAGCGAAUAAAUUCCUUGUUUGACGGGCGAAACCGUGGCGGGUGGCCACAGUGGCGGUGAUAUCUCGUGUCCCGGUGGACCAUGAGAGUGGGGUUCCCGGGUCCCCUGGCAGGGCCCUCGGGGCUGCUGGGAGCUGUGUGUGGAAAGGGGAGCCUUGUGGAAAGGAAGCGGGGAGGAGACGUGGUCGUCCAGUCUGCUCGACAGGCCAUCCAGUUCUCAAGCUAACACUUGUGGAAUUGGUGAUUCCUACGAACAGGAAGGAAUCCCCCCGCCCCCCCCCCACACACACAUAGCAAAUGGCCUAGACCUGGGUCUCCAGCUGCAGAAGAGCUCGUCCUGGCCGCCUCCCUGCUCCGGAAGUGGGACUGGCAGCAUCGGCCUCCAUUUACAGCAUAAUACCCUCCAGUUCCAUCCACGUUGCUGCAAAUGGCAGGAUUUCAUUCUCGCUCACUACCAAGUGGCCCGGGAUCCCAAUCUCGGAGCCUCCGACCCAGGCCCCGUCAGGUACUCAGGAUUCUGGAAUUGGCAAGGAUGAAGCACUCUGCAUUUAUAAAUAGUCUCCUGCUUUUUGGGAUUUCAAUGACUAUUAUGAUUGUUCUCCCUCAUUUAUAAAUUAUUGCUGGGAAAGGCACAUUCUCAAAUACUCAUUGCUCUUAAGAGAUAAUGAUCUGUGCUGAGCGCCACAGCCUUCCCCGUGCAGGAGCCGCUUUAUGGCACUCGAGAGUCAGCGUUGAGAGGAAUGUGGUGGAAGGUGCCAGAGAGAUACGGCAGCUGGAAGAGGGCGGGCUGGCGUCGCCGGGUGGCUCUGGCCCACGUGCUCCGGAAGCGCCUCUCCAGGUUGGACCAAGGGAGAAACAGCCACCUUCCCCACUGACCUGUUCAAGGGACGGAGACGCAGCUUUGGGGCGUGAUCCCACUUUAUUCUCAGGCCCGUGUUCAAAAGUGGGGCCCA
Long non-coding RNA from Herpailurus yagouaroundi (jaguarundi), 1128 nucleotides. RefSeq lists it as uncharacterized. The record is from RefSeq and is a predicted model, not a curated record. Lineage: Eukaryota; Metazoa; Chordata; Mammalia; Carnivora; Felidae. The transcript has 4 exons.